AACGGUCUAUACCUGCGGUACCUGCGGAGGGAUCAUUAAUGAACUUGUCUCUCUCACUUUGGUUAACUGUUGCGCCUCUGGCUGCACGUUGCCUAGUGGAGGACUAAUUCCCAUUAACCCCUUGUGCAUUCUGGGAGGCUUAGCCUCUUCACAUAUACCCUAAUAAAUGUACAUGUCUUAUGUUUAAUUCAUAAUUGUUAAACAACUUUUAGCAACGGAUCUCUAGAUCGGAAGAGCACA
Molecule: unclassified non-coding RNA, 240 nt
Filed under: soil metagenome
Description: partial contains 5.8S ribosomal RNA, internal transcribed spacer 2, and large subunit ribosomal RNA
Source: RNAcentral